RNAcentral lists this ribosomal RNA (827 nucleotides) under Escherichia coli. RNAcentral's name for it is "partial 23S ribosomal RNA". It matches the Rfam family "Bacterial large subunit ribosomal RNA", at positions 2095 to 2916 of the family's 2925-position model. Lineage: Bacteria; Pseudomonadati; Pseudomonadota; Gammaproteobacteria; Enterobacterales; Enterobacteriaceae. The record is from RNAcentral.
GAACCUUUACUAUAGCUUGACACUGAACAUUGAGCCUUGAUGUGUAGGAUAGGUGGGAGGCUUUGAAGUGUGGACGCCAGUCUGCAUGGAGCCGACCUUGAAAUACCACCCUUUAAUGUUUGAUGUUCUAACGUUGACCCGUGAUCCGGGUUGCGGACAGUGUCUGGUGGGUAGUUUGACUGGGGCGGUCUCCUCCUAAAGAGUAACGGAGGAGCACGAAGGUUGGCUAAUCCUGGUCGGACAUCAGGAGGUUAGUGCAAUGGCAUAAGCCAGCUUGACUGCGAGCGUGACGGCGCGAGCAGGUGCGAAAGCAGGUCAUAGUGAUCCGGUGGUUCUGAAUGGAAGGGCCAUCGCUCAACGGAUAAAAGGUACUCCGGGGAUAACAGGCUGAUACCGCCCAAGAGUUCAUAUCGACGGCGGUGUUUGGCACCUCGAUGUCGGCUCAUCACAUCCUGGGGCUGAAGUAGGUCCCAAGGGUAUGGCUGUUCGCCAUUUAAAGUGGUACGCGAGCUGGGUUUAGAACGUCGUGAGACAGUUCGGUCCCUAUCUGCCGUGGGCGCUGGAGAACUGAGGGGGGCUGCUCCUAGUACGAGAGGACCGGAGUGGACGCAUCACUGGUGUUCGGGUUGUCAUGCCAAUGGCACUGCCCGGUAGCUAAAUGCGGAAGAGAUAAGUGCUGAAAGCAUCUAAGCACGAAACUUGCCCCGAGAUGAGUUCUCCCUGACUCCUUGAGAGUCCUGAAGGAACGUUGAAGACGACGACGUUGAUAGGCCGGGUGUGUAAGCGCAGCGAUGCGUUGAGCUAACCGGUACUAAUGAACCGUGAGG